This 297-nucleotide ribosomal RNA is filed under the name uncultured Pseudomonadota bacterium. RNAcentral's name for it is "uncultured proteobacterium partial 16S ribosomal RNA". It matches the Rfam family "Bacterial small subunit ribosomal RNA", at positions 29 to 351 of the family's 1533-position model. Lineage: Bacteria; Pseudomonadati; Pseudomonadota. The record is from RNAcentral.
AGCGAACGCUGGCGGCAGGCUUAACACAUGCAAGUCGAACGGAUCCUUCGGGAUUAGUGGCGGACGGGUGAGUAACACGUGGGAACGUGCCCUUAGGUUCGGAACAACACAGGGAAACUUGUGCUAAUACCGGAUGUGCCCCUCACGGGGGAAAGAUUUAUCGCCUUUGGAGCGGCCCGCGUCUGAUUAGCUUGUUGGUGAGGUAAAGGCUCACCAAGGCUACGAUCAGUAGCUGGUCUGAGAGGAUGGCCAGCCACAUUGGGACUGAGACACGGCCCAAACUCCUACGGGAGGCUG